This is a non-coding RNA of Coriobacteriaceae bacterium EMTCatB1, 342 nucleotides long. It matches the Rfam family "Bacterial RNase P class A". Rfam says of the family: Ribonuclease P (RNase P) is a ubiquitous endoribonuclease, found in archaea, bacteria and eukarya as well as chloroplasts and mitochondria. The record is from Rfam. Lineage: Bacteria; Bacillati; Actinomycetota; Coriobacteriia; Coriobacteriales; Coriobacteriaceae.
GGAGCGGGCUAGACGGCCGCGCGCGUUCACGCGUGAGGAAAGUCCGGACUCCACAGGGCAGGGUGCAGGCUAACAGCCUGGCGGGGCGACCCGACGGAAAGUGCCACAGAAAAGAAAACUCCCCCGCGCACGCGGGAGAAAAGCUGAAACGGUGCGGCAAGAGCGCACCAGCGUCACGGUGACGUGGCGGCUUGGCAAACCCCACCCGGAGCAAGGGCGAAUAGGAGCGGUCAAGGCUGGCCCGGCCGUCGCUCGGGUAUGCCCGCUCGAGGCCGUCGGCAACGGCGGUCCCAGAUAGAUGGCCGUCCUCGACAGAAUCCGGCUUACAGGCCCGCUCCUCGC